CGGGGGGCAGGGGGUUCCCUAAGCCUGGAUUGCGAGAGGGUGCAGGCCAGGCCAAGGGACCCCACCGGUGCACG
This 74-nucleotide microRNA precursor is filed under the name Myotis brandtii (Brandt's bat). RNAcentral's name for it is "mir-9193 microRNA precursor family". It matches the Rfam family "mir-9193 microRNA precursor family". Lineage: Eukaryota; Metazoa; Chordata; Mammalia; Chiroptera; Vespertilionidae. The record is from Rfam by way of RNAcentral.